This is a non-coding RNA of Miniopterus natalensis, 386 nucleotides long. Lineage: Eukaryota; Metazoa; Chordata; Mammalia; Chiroptera; Miniopteridae. The record is from RefSeq and is a predicted model, not a curated record.
GACGGGAAACGGAACCCGCCGCCUCUCGUGGGGCGAGCGACCGCCGGCAGCCUGGCCGCCCCGGUUCCGAAAGCGCCGCUUCUGCGCGUCCGCCUGCAACUCGAGGAGGACUCCCUUUCGCGUCGCUUCGGACAGAGUUUCUGCGUUGCUUUCUCCUAAAGUGGCUUCCAAAACGAUGUAGAAUCUGGAGGGGCUACUGAUGUUGAGCCAUCUUUUCAUGUGCCCUUAGCCAUUUCUAUAUCUUCUUUGGACAAAUAUCUCUUUAAGUCCUUUGUUCACUUUUUGAAUUAUUGUCUUUUUAUUGUUGAGCUGUAAGAAUUCUUUACACAUUGUGGAUGCCAGCCUUUUAUCGGAUAUAUAAUUUGCAAAUAUUUUUUCUCAUCCUG